Molecule: non-coding RNA, 103 nt
Organism: Panus rudis PR-1116 ss-1
Lineage: Eukaryota; Fungi; Basidiomycota; Agaricomycetes; Polyporales; Panaceae
Source: the annotation of a GenBank genome assembly
GCCCGCCUAGCUCAAUCGGAUAGAGCGUCAGACUUUUAAAGCUGUUCGUGCGGGACGGAUUAAUAAUAUCUGAAGGCUGCGGGUUCGACCCCCGCGGUGGGCU